This 254-nucleotide ribosomal RNA is filed under the name uncultured bacterium. Its description in RNAcentral is "partial 16S ribosomal RNA". It matches the Rfam family "Bacterial small subunit ribosomal RNA", at positions 524 to 776 of the family's 1533-position model. The record is from RNAcentral.
UACGUAGGGGGCUAGCGUUGUUCGGAAUUACUGGGCGUAAAGCGUAUGCAGGCGGAUCGUUAAGUCGGGGGUGAAAUCCCGAGGCUCAACCUCGGAACUGCCUUCGAUACUGGCGACCUUCGAGUCCGGGAGAGGUGAGUGGAACUCCGAGUGUAGAGGUGAAAUUCGUAGAUAUCUGGAGGAACACCGGUGGCGAAGGCGGCAUCCUGGACCGGCAUUGACGCUGAGGCGCGAAAGCCAGGGGAGCAAACGGG